AUGAACGCUAGCUACAGGCUUAACACAUGCAAGUCGAGGGGCAGCGGUAUCGAAAGCUUGCUUUCGGUAGCCGGCGACCGGCGCACGGGUGAGUAACGCGUAUCGAACCUGCCUCAUACUCGGGAAUAGCCUUGCGAAAGUAAGAUUAAUGCCCGGUGUUUUCAGAGUCCCGCAUGAGGCUUUGAACAAAGAUUUAUCGGUAUGAGAUGGCGAUGCGUCCCAUUAGCUUGUUGGCGGGGUAACGGCCCACCAAGGCAUCGAUGGGUAGGGGUCCUGAGAGGAAGGUCCCCCACAUUGGAACUGAGACACGGUCCAAACUCCUACGGGAGGCAGCAGUGAGGAAUAUUGGUCAAUGGGCGGAAGCCUGAACCAGCCAAGUAGCGUGCAGGAAGACGGCCCUCCGGGUUGUAAACUGCUUUUAGUUGGGAAUAAAACGGGGCUCGUGAGCCCCCUUGCAUGUACCAUCAGAAAAAGGACCGGCUAAUUCCGUG
This 491-nucleotide ribosomal RNA is filed under the name uncultured bacterium. Its description in RNAcentral is "partial 16S ribosomal RNA". It matches the Rfam family "Bacterial small subunit ribosomal RNA", at positions 29 to 507 of the family's 1533-position model. The record is from RNAcentral.